AAAAGACUUAGUCCUAACCUUACCGUUAAUUCUUACCAGAAUUAUACAUGCAAGUAUCCGCAUCCCAGUGUAAAUGCCCUCAGCCCCUUACUAAGGCAAGAGGAGCGGGCAUCAGGCUCACCAUUCGUAGCCCAAAACGCCUUGCUUAGCCACACCCCCACGGGUCAUCAGCAGUAAUUAACAUUAAGCAAUAAGUGUAAACUUGACUUAAUCAUGGUAACAACAGGGCUGGUAAAUCUUGUGCCAGCCACCGCGGUCACACAAGAAGCCCAAAUUAACCGUAUACGGCGUAAAGAGUGGCCUAACAAUAUCGUCUAUAGCUGAAGUGAAAGUGCGCCUAAGCUGUCAUAAGCUCAAGGCCCAUCUAAACUCACCAUUAAUAUAACCUCAGAUUCCAAGACGACCAACUCAAUCCACGAAAGCCGGGAGACAAACUGGGAUUAGAUACCCCACUAUGCUCGGCCAUAAAUCUAGAUGCUUUCACCACCAAAGCACCCGCCAGGGAACUACGAGCACAAACGCUUAAAACCCUAAGGACUUGGCGGUGUCCCAAACCCACCUAGAGGAGCCUGUUCUAUAAUCGAUAAUCCGCGCUACACCCGACCCCUUCUCGCCCAACCAGCCUAUAUACCGCCGUCGCCAGCUCACCUCCACCUGAGAGCUCCACAGUGAGCACAAUAGCCUUACCCACUAAAAAGACAGGUCAAGGUAUAGCCAAUGAAGGGGAAGAAAUGGGCUACAUUUUCUGACCCAGAAAACCAACGAACCAAGGCCUGAAACUGGCCCUUAGAAGGCGGAUUUAGCAGUAAAACACGACCACAAUGCUUGUUUUAAGUUGGCCCUGGGACACGUACAUACCGCCCGUCACCCUCCUCACAAGCAACCCCCCCACCACAACCUAUUACCCAUUAAAGCUGAAGAUGAGGUAAGUCGUAACAAGGUAAGUGUACCGGAAGGUGCACUUAGCAUAAC
RNAcentral lists this non-coding RNA (972 nucleotides) under Jynx torquilla (Eurasian wryneck). RNAcentral describes it as "12S ribosomal RNA". It matches the Rfam family "Bacterial small subunit ribosomal RNA". The record is from RNAcentral. Lineage: Eukaryota; Metazoa; Chordata; Aves; Piciformes; Picidae.